Molecule: ribosomal RNA, 400 nt
Filed under: phytoplankton environmental sample
Lineage: Eukaryota
Description: partial small subunit ribosomal RNA
Rfam family: Eukaryotic small subunit ribosomal RNA
Source: RNAcentral
AGCUCCAAUAGCGUAUAUUAAAGUUGUUGCAGUUAAAAAGCUCGUAGUUGGAUUUGUGGCGUACGGUGGGCCCCGGGCACUUGUUGUCUGAGUGGUUUGCUGUUGCCAUCCUUGGGUGGAACCUGUGUGGCAUUAGGUUGUCGUGCAGGGGAUGCCCAUCUUUUACUGUGAAAAAAUUAGAGUGUUCAAAGCAGGCUUAGGCCGUUGAAUAUAUUAGCAUGGAAUAAUGAGAUAGGACUUUGUUACUAUUUUGUUGGUUUGCGUAGCAAGGUAAUGAUUAAUAGGGACAGUUGGGGGUAUUCGUAUUCCAUUGUCAGAGGUGAAAUUCUUGGAUUUUUGGAAGACGAACUACUGCGAAAGCAUUUACCAAGGAUGUUUUCAUUAAUCAAGAACGAAAGUA